This 494-nucleotide ribosomal RNA is filed under the name uncultured Glomeromycotina. Its description in RNAcentral is "partial small subunit ribosomal RNA". It matches the Rfam family "Eukaryotic small subunit ribosomal RNA", at positions 591 to 1092 of the family's 1831-position model. The record is from RNAcentral. Lineage: Eukaryota; Fungi; Glomeromycota.
CCAAUAGCGUAUAUUAAAGUUGUUGCCGUUACAAAGCUCGUAGUUGAAUUUUAGGCCUGACCGGGCGGUCCGUCUUUGGCGAGUACUGUCCUGUGUCGGGUCCACCUUCUGGUGAACCAGUAUGUCCUUUAUUGGGUGUGCCGGGGAGCCAGGACCAUUACCUUGAAAAAAUUAGAGUGUUUAAAGCAGGCAUUUGCUUGAAUAGAUUAGCAUGGAAUAAUAGAAUAGGACGUUGUGGUUCUAUUUUGUUGGUUUCUAGGACCACCGUAAUGAUUAAUAGGGAUAGUUGGGGGCAUUAGUAUUCAAUUGUCAGAGGUGAAAUUCUUGGAUUUAUUGAAGACUAACUAUUGCGAAAGCAUUUGCCAAGGAUGUUUUCAUUAAUCAAGAACGAAAGUUAGGGGAUCGAAGACGAUUAGAUACCGUCGUAGUCUUUACCAUAAACUAUGCCAACUAGGGAUCGGAGGGCGUUAUAAUGACCCCUUCGGCACCUUGCG